Molecule: regulatory RNA element, 163 nt
Organism: Firmicutes bacterium CAG:882
Lineage: Bacteria; Bacillati; Bacillota
Source: Rfam
UUUGGGAGAAGUUUAGAUGUUCUUAUAACUCUGUUCACAGAUUAGCCAAAGCCAACAUGGAUGUUGGCUUAGAUGCCAAAGUCCAUGGAUGGACGGCUGGCAUCGGUGGCGUAUAUGGAUGUAAGGUAAAUCAGAGUUCUUAGAACAUCUUGCUUCGGACAAU